CCAAGUCUUCAUUCAGCUUUUCAAUUUCUUUGUUGAGAGUCUUGAUUAUAUCCAGACAUUCAUUCUUCUCGACCUGAAGUUGACAAUUUGUCUCCUUUUGUUUUUCCAAGGCUUUGCAGAAUUCAUUGCUCCUGAUGAAUAAGUCCUUAUAGGUAGCCAGAAGUUCUUCAUAUGAUGUUUCAUCGCAUGAUUCAGCAUCAGAUUCAUAGACACCUGUCAAUGCAUUGACAAGUUUUGCAGAUUCACCU
This 248-nucleotide long non-coding RNA is filed under the name Trifolium pratense (red clover). RNAcentral describes it as "long non-coding RNA (TPRA_LNC010599)". Lineage: Eukaryota; Viridiplantae; Streptophyta; Magnoliopsida; Fabales; Fabaceae. The record is from RNAcentral.